Molecule: ribosomal RNA, 426 nt
Filed under: uncultured prokaryote
Description: bacterial SSU rRNA
Rfam family: Bacterial small subunit ribosomal RNA
Source: RNAcentral
UGGGGAAUUUUCCGCAAUGGGGGCAACCCUGACGGAGCAACGCCGCGUGGGGGAGGAAUGUCUGUGGAUUGUAAACCCCUUUUCUCUGGGAAGAAGGACUGACGGUACCAGAGGAAUCAGCAUCGGCUAACUCCGUGCCAGCAGCCGCGGUAAUACGGAGGGGGUUAGCGUUGUUCGGAAUUACUGGGCGUAAAGCGCGCGUAGGCGGACUAUUAAGUCAGGGGUGAAAUCCCGGGGCUCAACCCCGGAACUGCCUUUGAUACUGGUAGUCUUGAGUUCGAGAGAGGUGAGUGGAAUUCCGAGUGUAGAGGUGAAAUUCGUAGAUAUUCGGAGGAACACCAGUGGCGAAGGCGGCUCACUGGCUCGAUACUGACGCUGAGGUGCGAAAGCGUGGGGAGCAAACAGGAUUAGAUACCCGCGUAGUCC